CAGGGCGGCCCGCCCCGCGCACGCGCGCCCGCCGCCGUGUUUACUGUUUGGUUGCCAGGGCGGCGCGCGGCGGCGCGCGUCAGGGACGUGACGUCCCGGCCCGGCUCCCCGCGGAGACGCCGCGAGCCAGCGCCAUGACGCAAGAGCUUCCGGCCGUGCCCAUAUAUGGCAAAGCGGCGGCGGCGGCUUCCCCCCGGGAGCUGGACGUUGGGCCGCGCGUGAGGCGCUGCGGCGGGAAGGUUCCAGAAGGGCGCGAGGGCGGGGCCGCCGGCCCCGCGGCGGCCGCCGUUAGUCCUGUCAGGCAGCCAUUACGCCUCCCCGAGGGCCCGCGGCUCAGUGGGCUGCCCUGGCUCCACCUGUGCUGCUGGGCUGGCUCCGCUUAGCGCCAGAAAUGAUAAAUUGUGACACUUCUAAUCUCCACACGGCCCUAGAUGAAAUAAAAUAGUGAUAUAUAUAUAUUAUAUACACACACACACGUAUUCACCAUGCUUGCAGCAUUGCAGCUCGCCCGUGAAACCUGCUGCCGGCCUCAGGGCAGCGGGUGACCAGGCGCCGGCAUCCUUCAACUCUGGUUCUGCUGGUUCCCCGGCCAGGUGCGCCGUCGUUGUUUCGCCGAUAAACCUGACUCUUCUACUUUCACUCAAAAUAGAGCGGGAAGCCUGCCAGAAACAGUCACCGGAGCCAAUGGGCAGCUGAGAAUAAAUGGAUUGUUCAGAGAAGAUAAGGGUUUAGGGGAAAGAAAAAAAAAAAAAAAAAAGUUCAGUGCUCGCUGUGGAGGAAUUUGAGAAGGUUCCUGUGCUCAGUGUUCUGAGAGAUUUACCAGAGGGUGUGUUUAAAGCCAAAGUGUCCACACAAAAGGUUAUGAAACAAAUAAAAACCACCGAACAGGCACAACUGGGUAAUACUCAUGCAAGGUUUCUAAGAGAAGUUAAGAUUUCAGUAGCUGGGCUGCCUACUGGUGGCUAAGUGUAGCAUCUCAUUUAGAAGUGCUUCAGUAUUUGGGAAUGGAAAGAUAGUUAGUGUGCCAGUUAAAGUGCCCAGAAACGUUCUGGAGAGCUGCCGACCAAUGAGCCAGCUAUCUGUACCAGGCAAGGUCGUGAAAGCAGUUUAAAAAGGCAAACUAUUGAGCACAAGGGAAAAAAAAAAGAAGUGUACCAGGUGAGUUGGCAGCUUUUCUAAAGCAUUCCUCACACAUUGUUUGAAGUCCUGUGAGGAGUCAGCAAGCGUAUGGAAAAGAUUCCCCUGAUGUCAUUUGCUUGGGUUUUGAGAAAACAUUCUUUAACAUCUAUCAGCAGAAGCUUCUGAAGAAACUAAGCUGCUAUGGAAUAAGAAUAGAAGUUUUCACAUGAGUAGAUGAGGCUGGUUUAAAAGAUGGGACGCUAAACAAAAAAAUGUUUUCCUAGGUGGAAGGCGUCUUCAUAUGAAGUUGCACAAGGAUCUGAAUUGGAGCCUGGGGUCUGGAACAGGUGGUAAAUAGCGAGGUGGCUGAGAGGAAGUCAAGUAAGACUUGACAGUCUGCGGGUGAUGCAAUUCUAUGUAGAUCUUUUGCUGAUAAGGUUGUUCUUGUGGCUUCCGGCGAGCUUUCCAGUCAUAGUGGGUAUACUGGUGACCCGGUGAGACGCUGAAGUGAAACCAACAAACACUCAUUCUUCUGAUAUGGAAACAGCGGAUAUCCACAAGGGACCUGGAUGUUAUAUCAACAGGAUACCAUGGGUAAACAAAAGAAGGUCAUAACUAACAUGUGGACAAAAUAUCUUUAUUGUUUCCAAUUAUGGAGCUCUUUUUUUUUUUUUUUUUUUCUUUUUUUUUUUUUUUCUUCAGAACAACAGAUUUUUAGCUCCUCUUCACUGAUUAUAUUGGAGCUUUGUUUUUGUACAAAUAUUUUGUAGCUUGAUCCUGUUGGCUAAAGCCAACCAGGUGCAACUUUAAAGCAGUCAUUUGAAUUCCAAUUGCACCACAGCCUCCAUCUGGUAAGAAUUCAGCUCCUUUUAAAUAGCCCAUCUUGAAUUUUGUCGUGCUAGGGAAUAAGGGAAAUGAAACAGACUCAUCGUACAGUAUUUAUCUGUUGUUUGCAAAAGGAAGUAUUUGUUUUGAGUAAGUAACAGUGUUACAGAGUCCAUAAAACAGUAGCAGUGUCAGACCUAAAGCAUAUGGUCUAAAUUGUGUACAGUUCGGAUAUUACCAGAUCAUUGAGGGUUUAAGUAAAACAUUAUUUUGACACUGCUCUGAUGUAUAGCGGGUGUUUCAGCAUCAGAAUGAUGUAGUUCCUGCUAUGAAGCAUUCGAACUGUAAUAGUAGGAGAAAUGGCAGUUGCCAGUAGCGCACAGCAGAGAGAAGGACAAGCACUGUUACAGCAUUUAAGCGUGUGCUGUGGCAAUUCAAUUAAAACAGUAGCGUAACCUGAUCAUGAUGUGUCACUAACCUGAGGACACAAAGGAAGAUAAACUGAGGUAAUCUGCUGUCAUUACAUAAGAGUUGAGUGCAGAGCCAAGAAUGGGGUUUCGGCACAGAUAAGGAUUUCUCUCUGAGACUUUCAAAGAAUUCAGCUCUUCACAGCUUUAACUCUUCAUAGGAGUUGCAGAUCCUCCCCCCAGGUUUGUCAGCAAGUUCCAGGUGGUCAGGUGCCACAAGCCUGGGCUCCUGAGCUGUGCCUGGGGGUAAGUAGCAGAGAGCUUGGGACUGCUGAUUUUCCAUCCUGCUCUGUUGCACAGUAAUAAUCCUAGUCCCUGAAAUACUUUUGGGCUGUGCCAAUGAAGCUGGGCUCCCGUCGCUCUCCCUGGUCAUCCAGCAAUACCCUAGCAGGUUUCAUACCGCGUUUCCUACUUCAUUGCACUUUGGCAUAUGACAAGUCCUUGACUUACCUCAUGGCUGUGUAAGGCGUUUAAUGCUCCAAAAAUAACCCCGGUGUCUAAAAGAGCUUGGCAAACUACCUCCAAAUCAUCCUACACAUUGGGUAGGAUUUAAGGGAAAUAUGAAAUAAUUUAUUUCACCAAAAGGUAGGUAGGUAGCUGUAUUUGGAGAUGAAUAUGGUGAAAUAGCACACAAGAAAACAUGAUACUCUGCCUGACUGCUUAUCUUCCAGAUCUUUGUUUCAGCCUGCAAGCUGAGCUGAGGGGCACGGCACGCUGAUGGGGUGGUUUCCACAGCUGUCAGAACUGCAGAAUGAUACUCAAACAGGCUACCUCCCCCAGAAGGCAUGUUCCUGAUUCGGAACAUUCAUUUGAGAAAAGUUGUAUUUAUAGUCUGUAUACCCCUACUUGCCUAAGGGCCUUCUGAGGGCAAACGCUUCACUGGGCAUGGCUUCUGGCUCCUCAUCCCAGUACAUUUAGUCAAGACGUGAACUCGUAACUGUCUUCCUCAUGAAACACCGUUUGUUGUAGCUCUAGUCCUUUUUGUGUGAAGGCGUGACAGGAGCGCGGGACUUCUGCUCCUUACACCUGGACAGUUUUAACACGACUUCUUGAUAAACCUGUCGUUAUGAUGUAUAAAUAAAACUUCUUUGCCAG
This is a long non-coding RNA of Cygnus olor (mute swan), 3506 nucleotides long. RefSeq lists it as uncharacterized. The transcript has 2 exons. The record is from RefSeq and is a predicted model, not a curated record. NCBI's taxonomy places the organism in Eukaryota, Metazoa, Chordata, Aves, Anseriformes, Anatidae.